RNAcentral lists this small nuclear RNA (122 nucleotides) under Paramormyrops kingsleyae. Its description in RNAcentral is "U1 spliceosomal RNA (ENSPKIG00000024926.1)". It matches the Rfam family "U1 spliceosomal RNA". Rfam says of the family: U1 is a small nuclear RNA (snRNA) component of the spliceosome (involved in pre-mRNA splicing). Lineage: Eukaryota; Metazoa; Chordata; Actinopteri; Osteoglossiformes; Mormyridae. The record is from RNAcentral.
AUACCUACCUGGCAGGGGAGAUACCAUGGUAACGAAGGUGGUUCACCAGCAUGAGGCCCAGCCAUUACACUGUGGCUGUGCUGACCCCUGUGAUUUCCCCUGUGAAGGCACAGUGUAUGUAC